Molecule: ribosomal RNA, 667 nt
Filed under: Kuehneola uredinis
Lineage: Eukaryota; Fungi; Basidiomycota; Pucciniomycetes; Pucciniales; Phragmidiaceae
Description: eukaryotic LSU rRNA
Rfam family: Eukaryotic large subunit ribosomal RNA
Source: RNAcentral
GGGAAUUAAGCAUAUCAAUAAGCGGAGGAAAAGAAACUAACCAGGAUUCCCCCAGUAACGGCGAGUGAAGAGGGAAAAGCCCAAAUUUGUAAUCUGGCUCUUUCAGAGUCCGAGUUGUAAUUUUGAGAGCUGUUUUCUGUGCUGGACCAUUUCUAAGUCUGUUGAAAAACAGCAUCAUGGAGGGUGAGAAUCCCGUAUAUGAUAUGGACUACCAGGGCUAUAUGAUACAGUCUCUAAGAGUCGAGUUGUUUGGGAAUGCAGCUCAAAUUGGGUGGUAAAUUCCAUCUAAGGCUAAAUACAGGUGAGAGACCGAUAGCAAACAAGUACCGUGAGGGAAAGAUGAAAAGAACUUUGGAAAGAGAGUUAACAGUACGUGAAAUUGUUAUAAAAGAAACGAUUGAAGUUAGCCUUGUAUUUGUUAGUUCAGCUCUUUUAGGGUGUAUUCUAAUGAUAUACAGACCAACAUCAGUUUUUGGGUGCUGGAUAAGAGUCUUGGAAAUGUAGCAGCCUUGGCUGUGUUAUAGUCCUGGAUCUUGGAUACAGUGCCUAGGACUGAGGAAUGCAGCAAGCCGGGGUCACCUGGCAGAUCUCUUUGGAGAUCUUCUUGCUGAGGAUGUUGGUGUAAUAGCUUUAACCGACCCGUCUUGAAACACGGACCCCAAGGAGA